Molecule: ribosomal RNA, 497 nt
Filed under: uncultured bacterium
Lineage: Bacteria
Description: partial 16S ribosomal RNA
Rfam family: Bacterial small subunit ribosomal RNA
Source: RNAcentral
GAUGAACGCUGGCGGCGUGCCUAAUACAUGCAAGUCGAGCGAACAGAUGAGGAGCUUGCUCCUCUGACGUUAGCGGCGGACGGGUGAGUAACACGUGGAUAACCUACCUAUAAGACUGGGAUAACUUCGGGAAACCGGAGCUAAUACCGGAUAAUAUAUUGAACCGCAUGGUUCAAUAGUGAAAGACGGUUUUGCUGUCACUUAUAGAUGGAUCCGCGCCGCAUUAGCUAGUUAGUAAGGUAACGGCUUACCAAGGCAACGAUGCGUAGCCGACCUGAGAGGGUGAUCGGCCACACUGGAACUGAGACACGGUCCAGACUCCUACGGGAGGCAGCAGUAGGGAAUCUUCCGCAAUGGGCGAAAGCCUGACGGAGCAACGCCGCGUGAGUGAUGAAGGUCUUCGAAUCGUAAAACUCUGUUAUUAGGGAAGAACAAAUGUGUAAGUAACUAUGCACGUCUUGACGGUACCUAAUCAGAAAGCCACGGCUAACUACGUG